This 253-nucleotide ribosomal RNA is filed under the name uncultured bacterium. Its description in RNAcentral is "partial 16S ribosomal RNA". It matches the Rfam family "Bacterial small subunit ribosomal RNA", at positions 524 to 776 of the family's 1533-position model. The record is from RNAcentral.
UACGGAGGGGGCUAGCGUUGUUCGGAAUUACUGGGCGUAAAGCGCACGUAGGCGGACCAGUUAGUUGGGGGUGAAAUCCCGGGGCUCAACCCCGGAACUGCCUCCAAAACUGCUGGUCUGGAGGUCGAGAGAGGUGAGUGGAAUUCCGAGUGUAGAGGUGAAAUUCGUAGAUAUUCGGAGGAACACCAGUGGCGAAGGCGGCUCACUGGCUCGAUACUGACGCUGAGGCGCGAAAGCGUGGGGAGCAAACAGG